CGGCCCAGACUCCUACGGGAGGCAGCAGUGGGGAAUUUUGGACAAUGGGCGCAAGCCUGAUCCAGCCAUGCCGCGUGUGUGAAGAAGGUCUUCGGAUUGUAAAGCACUUUAAGUUGGGAGGAAGGGCAGCUAAUUAAUACUUCGCUGUUUUGACGUUACCGACAGAAUAAGCACCGGCUAACUCUGUGCCAGCAGCCGCGGUAAUACAGAGGGUGCAAGCGUUAAUCGGAAUUACUGGGCGUAAAGCGCGCGUAGGUGGUUUGAUAAGCGAGAUGUGAAAGCCCCGGGCUUAACCUGGGAACGGCAUUUCGAACUGUCAGGCUAGAGUAUGGUAGAGGGUAGUGGAAUUUCCUGUGUAGCGGUGAAAUGCGUAGAUAUAGGAUGGAACACCAGUGGCGAAGGCGACUAACUGGACUGAUACUGACGCUGAGGUGCGAAAGUGUGGGGAGCAA
Molecule: ribosomal RNA, 452 nt
Filed under: Heterosigma akashiwo
Lineage: Eukaryota; Raphidophyceae; Chattonellales; Chattonellaceae
Description: partial Bacterial small subunit ribosomal RNA
Rfam family: Bacterial small subunit ribosomal RNA
Source: RNAcentral